AACCACUCAACUUCUCUGAAGGAUUUGGGCUGUUCAUGAAUUUUCACAACAUUCCAGUGAAUGUCACAGGACUUACAUGCAGCCACAUGUGCAAGGAUUUCUGUAGUGCAGACUUCUGGAAAGGUGGAAUUGAUGGAGCAUAGAGCAAAGACACUUUCAGAAGAGGAAAGAAGGGCUGGAAGGAAAAGCAUCAGGGGAAUGACCCUUACGUCUCUUCUCCUCCCUCCAGUCUCCCACCAGUGUUCCCAUUGGCUGAAGCCAACCAGAAGCCACAGGGAAUCCUGGGGUCAGCAUCAUCCCAAUUUCACAGAGUAUGACAUGAAGUCUCAGAGAGGGUAAGCAGCUUGCCAAACAUUCCACAGCCAGGAAGCUGUAGGACCAGCCUGUGCUCCUAAGGACUGGCUCCUGGCUGCUAUAUAUAGAACUAAGCCUGGUGGAGGUGUCAGAAAUAGAGGUUCACUUCUGUCAUCACCGACCUCCCUCCACACCUUUGCAAAGGAGGAAACUGAGAGGCAGGGAUUUCCGCAAAGCAAGGAACCCAAACUGCUGCCUCCUGUGAUUUAUACACUGCACCCCAAGCUGUAGGGGUAACCCAAGGACAAAGCUGUAACCCAAGCGGGAACAUAUGCCCCAUCUGGGGCCACCAAAAUCUUACCAGCUUCCUCAGCUGGUGGAUGGGUUAAUUCACGGCCACAGCCCCCCGGAGCUGGGGGAAAGGAAAGCCCGGGCCUCUCCGCAAACCAGCCCAGAGAGAGGUCUGCGGAAGGGCCAGGAAGCCUGCAGGCCCCUCUGCACCCCCAACCCCACCGCCAUCCUGGACCUCCAAGAUGACCUGGUCCAACACAGUCCUGCAAGGAAAAGACUGGAACCCAGGGAGGAGCAGAGCCCCGCCCAAG
Molecule: long non-coding RNA, 896 nt
Organism: Pongo pygmaeus (Bornean orangutan)
Lineage: Eukaryota; Metazoa; Chordata; Mammalia; Primates; Hominidae
Exons: 3
Source: RefSeq, a predicted model, not a curated record